RNAcentral lists this long non-coding RNA (5219 nucleotides) under Nicotiana tabacum (common tobacco). RNAcentral describes it as "long non-coding RNA (NTAB_LNC010417)". The record is from RNAcentral. Lineage: Eukaryota; Viridiplantae; Streptophyta; Magnoliopsida; Solanales; Solanaceae.
AGGUUUAUUAAUAGAUCUUUUUGUAAUAUACAGAACAUAAUGGAAAAUUAAUACAUCAAGGGUCUCUUUCGACAUACCCUUUUCUCUCUCUCUCUCUCUUCAUCCAUUCUAGGGUUUUCAUCCCUUUUUCUCUACCAUAGCUCGCAGAUCUUCGAGUUAACAUGGUAUCAAAGUGGGAAUUUUGAUUCCUCUCAUCACAAGUUUCACUCCGAUGUUACCCUCUCUGAGUUUUUCAUCGUUUCGAUUUUUGAUUGACCCAGAACGACGAAAAUGUCGAACAACAUUUUCCACCGGUAAUUUUUGGGGAUUUCAUCACCUGACGACUGCUAGUACUCUCAUGAUGCCGAACAUCUCGGAUUUUCUCAGGCUCUGUACUUGAUUUGGUUAAAUCUGGUUUUCUAUGGUUUAUACUUCAGAGAAGACUCUUCUUCUUCGAGUUUCAGAAGAAUGAUGGUAAUAUCCUUCUCACUUUCGACUAUAAAAUUGCUUAGUUUUUGGUUGCAUGUUCUAGCAUAUGUUCAGAAAGCUACCUCUUUUGCUAUGUUAUAGAUAUUACUGUUUGUGUUGUUCUGAUUCAAUCCAGUUAAGUUUCAUCCUAUGGGUAGCAUUAUGGAUAAUGUUUCAUCACCUAGUAGCACAGGUUCUGAUGGUUUCACACCUUUUACACUGGAUCCAUCUCAUCCAUGUACGUACACCCUUCUGAUAGUCUUGGUAGUCAAUUGGUAGUUGUACCUUUCAAUGGGUGUGGUUUUGUGUUUUGGAGAAGUAGCAUGCUUACUUCUGUAUCUGCAAAGAACAGGUUAGGGCUUUUAGAUGGUAGAGUUCCCCAACCCUCACCGGACUCCCCAUAUUAUCCAUACUAGGAGAGGUGCAAUGACAUGGUCAAGGCAUGGAUCACUAACUUUGUGUCUAGGGAUAUUGCAACCAGUGUCAUGUGUCUUAAGACUGCAAGGAAAGUCUGGAAAGACAUUAACGAUAGAUUUGGUCAAUCAAAUGGAUUCAAAUAUCUCCAAAUUCAAAAAAGGAUUAGCACAACUACUCAAGGGUCUUCUGAUAUUUCCACAUACUUCACCAAGUUUAGGAGUCUAUGGGAUGAGUUAAAUUCCUCUUAUGUGGGUCUUGUCUGUUCAUGUGGAGCUCUUCCAAAGUUCAUAGAGGAUCAACAAUUAUUCUAGUUCCUCAAUGGUCUGAAUGAGUCUUACUCCACUCUGAAAAGUGCCAUCAUGAUGAUGAAUCCUCUCCCUCCAAUAAGCAAGGCUUAUUCCUUAUUACAACAGGAUGAGCGUCAAAAGGAAGCUCUCUCCAAUGUUUUUAACUUCUCUGGUGAUUCUGCUUCUUUUUCUGUGUCAACUGCUCAAUCAGCCAACACCAGAAAUUUCACUCAAAGGGUAAAUUUUGAAUCCAGAAAGAAUGUCAGUGGUGUUUCUUGCAAAUAUUAUAAGAAACCUGGACACACAGUGAAAAAAUAUUACAGACUUCAUGGGUUUCCCCUUGAGUUCAAGUUCACAAAGAACAAGAAGUCUGUAUCUUGUGUCCAAGGUGACAUACCUCAUCCUCAGUUAUCUCCUUCUAUCAAUCAGCUUCCAGGGAAUUCUUCUCCAAUUCAUGGCUUUACCAAAGAACAAUAUCAGCACCCCUUGACUAUGUUUCAAUAAGUUCAAGUCUCUCCUGGUGCUGUUUCCAACAAUCCUUCUAUUGAGGACUCUGGUUUUUUGCUUAUUUUGCAGGUUUGUUUACUGCCUAUGCUGUAGAAUCUGUAGACUCUCAUGUGUGUGCAUCAUCACAUGCUAAUGGGGAUCCUUGGAUCUUAGAUUCAGGGGCCACUAAUCACAUGACUCCACACAAACAUUUACUUCAUGAUAUUAUUCCUUUAGUUAAACCUUUCCUUGUUACCUUACCAAAUGGUUAUAAAGUAAAGGUUAUAACAACUGGGUCCUUGCACCCGAGACAUGAUAUAACCCUUCUCAAUGUACUUCGUGUACCUUCUUUCCAUUUCAACUUAAUAUCCAUACAUCAACUCAUUACCCAACUUAACUGUAUAGCAGUACUUACCAAGUUCCAUUGUUCUUUACAGGGCCCUUCUCUGAAGAGGUCACUGGUAAUUGGUAAGGCUGCUGGAAGACUCUACUACCUACAUCCAGAUGCAGACUUGUUUCCCACUUCAACCCCUGCUUUGUCAUCCCAUGCUACUACUCCUUGUAUAAAUUCUAGUUUUACUAUAGGUUCUAUUAUUUGUAAUAAGCCUGCAUCAAUUUCUCAGUAUGUACCUCUUUCACCUAAAUGUAAUUAGACUUCUGUUGUCAAUAAGAUGGAUUUGUUUUGACAUCAAAGACUAGGUCAUAUGCCCUUUCAUAAAAUGCAAUCUAUUCCUUUCUUAUCUGAUAAAGUAUCCAGCAAACAAAAUUUUAUGUCCUAUAUGUCCUAUGGCUAGACAACAAAGGCUGCCUUUUCAUGAUAGCACAAUUCAUUCCACUAAACCUUUUCAGCUAGUUCACAUUGAUAUUUGGGGCCCAUAUAAUACUAAAACUUACAAUGGCUUCAAAUAUUUUCUCACCUUAGUUGAUGAUUACUCUAGAGUCACUUGGACUCACCUCCUUUCUUCCAAAAGCAAUGCCUUAUCUAUCUUAAAAGCUUUCACUUCUAUGGUAAAAGUACACUUUAAUUCUUCAGUUCACACUUUCAGAUCAGACCAUGCUUUUGAACUUGGCAGUAGUGUUGAGGCUGCCACCUUAUUUGCUUCUCAAGGUAUAUUACACCAAACUACCAUUUCACAUACUCCACAACAAAAUGGUGUUGUGGAUAGAAAAUACAAACAUUUAUUAGAAGUUUCAAGAGCCCUUUUGUUCCAAUCUAAACUACCACUGACAUUUUGGAGUGACUGUGUUUUGACUGUCAUUUAUCUUAUAAAUAGGAUGCCUUCACCUCUUUUGCUCAAAGUUUCUCCUUAUGAAAAGUUGCAUGGAUGUACACAAUCUUAUGACUACUUGAGGUCUUUUGGUUGUAUGUGCUUUGCCACCUCUCCUAAGGCUGGUAGAAAUAAGUUUCAAUCUAGAGCUAUUUCUUAUAUCUUCCUAGGUUACCCUUGUGGUAAGAAGGGUUAUAAGUUGUUGAACAUGCCCAAUUCCUCAGUGUUCUACUCUAGGGAUGUAAUAUUCCAUGAACACAUUUUCCCUUAUUCUUCCUCUUCCCCACCUUCUCUUUCUUCUGUUUUGCCUUCACCAUUUGUGGACAUCCCAUCUUCUCUACCUGUCAUCCUUUCUCACCUUGUUUCCUCUUCUCCCAUUCCCCUUUCUGUUGUCAUUCCUCUUUCAACUUCUGCUCCACUCACCUCUCCUGCUAUUCCUCCUACAUCCACUCCUACACCUGCUUCCCCUCCUUUAAAAAAUCCACCAGAACUGUUACACAAUCUGUUUAUCUCAAAGAUUAUGUAUGUUCUUCUGCCAACUCCAACCCUUCUACUUCUACUCCUUCUAAGGUUCUGCCUAGUGAAGCACACAUGCAUGAGCCUUAAUUCUACCAGCAGACUGCCUCUCAUCCUGCCUGGCAGGAAGCUGUGCUAAAGGAAUUCAAUGCUCUUGAAGCAAACCAUACUUGGGACAUUGUUCCCCUUCCUCAUAAAAAGGUUAUUCCUUGUAAGUGGGUCUAUAAGAUCAAACAAAUGGCAGAUGGAUCUGUUGAGAGAUACAAGGCCAGGUUGGUUAUUAGGGGUGGUGACACUCAGAGGGAAGGCAUUGACUUCACAAAGACUUUUUCCCAUGUUAUCAAGCUCACCACCAUCAAGUGACUGCUGACUCUUGCCAUCAAGAGAGGAUGGAAUGUGUUCCAGUUGAAUGUUAACAAUGCAUUCCUCCAUGGUGAUCUACAUGAGGAGGUUUAUAUGAAGAUACCUCCAGGUAUUUAUGUCAAUUCUUCUUCCUCUUCCAUUCCUUUGGUUUGCAAACUCAAGAAAUUAUUAUAUGGCCUUAGGCAAGCCUCCAGACAAUGGUUUUCAAAACUGUCUGAAGCUUUGCUCUCUAGAGGCUACAUUUCAAGUCUGAAUGAUUACUCCCUCUUCACCAAGUCUUCUUCUGGUUCUCUAGUGGUUCUGGCAGUAUAUGUUGAUGACAUACUUUUGGCUGAAGAUGACCUCACUGAAAUGAACUCUUUGAAAUCCUAUUUGGAUGAUCAAUUUAAGAUUAAGGAUUUGGGGUUAGUACAUUACUUCUUGGGGCUGGAAAUCACUACUCAUCCUCAAGGCUAUCUCAUGAGCCAACACAAGUAUACAUCCGAUCUCUUCACUGAGUUCAAUUGUCAUCAUUUCUCUCCAGUUGUGACUCCUCUAGAUCCUUCUGUUAAGCUCACUUUGGACAUGGGGGAUCCUCUUCAUGAUCCUAGUCUUUACAGAAGACUUAUUGGGAAACUCAAUUUUUUACAACAUACAAGGCCUGAUAUAUCUUUCUUUGUCCAGCACCUGAGUCAAUUUCUUCAGCAACCUCAGGCCCCUCACAUGUUGGCUGGCCUACAUGUUCUUUGCUAUCUCAUGAAUGAUCCUUCUCAGGGAGUUCUUCUCUCCAAUUCUUCUGAUUAUUCUCUUGCUGGCUAUUCUGAUUCUGAUUGGGCCUCUUCUGCCAUCUCUCGAAAGAGUGUUACUGGGUUUUAUGUGACUCUUGGUGACAGUCCCAUCUCUUGAAAAAGUAAGAAGUAGCCCACUAUUUCUUUAUCUUCAGCUGAAGCUGAGUACAGGGCCCUCAGAAAAGUGGUUGCUGAGAUAUCUUGGUUGUUUAGACUUCUUAGGGAUCUUGGACUAUCUAUUAACAGUCAUGUUCAAAUCUAUUGUGACAGCCAGGCUGCUCUUCAUAUUGCCAAAAAUCCAGUUUUUCAUGAACGUACUAAGCAUAUUGAGAUUGACUGCCAUUAUGUUCGUGAAUGCUUGAAUUCUGGACUAAUUUCUCUACAUUUUAUUUCCAGUGCCAACCAGUUAGCUGACAUCAUGACAAAGGCUUUGUGUGGACAACUUCAUCAUAACAUUCUUGGCAAUCUUGGUGUGUGUUCACUCUCCAGCUUGAGGGGGGGUGUUAGCACUGAUAAAGGAAAAGGGUUGGCCCAAUAGCAGGGUCCAACAUACCCGGCCUAGCCCAAUUGUAUUCUUUAUUAGUCUUCAUAGGUUUAUUAAUAGAUCUUUUUGUAAUAUACAGAACAGUAUGAAAAUUUAAUACAUCAAGUAUCUCUUUCGACAGACC